Long non-coding RNA from Manihot esculenta (cassava), 2302 nucleotides. RefSeq lists it as uncharacterized. NCBI's taxonomy places the organism in Eukaryota, Viridiplantae, Streptophyta, Magnoliopsida, Malpighiales, Euphorbiaceae. The transcript has 4 exons. The record is from RefSeq and is a predicted model, not a curated record.
AGGACACUUGGCCUACUGGCUUUUACUUAUACGGCAAGACUAAGGUGCUUGAUGAUUUGGCACGUCACACGUGUGUCUCGCCGCUGAGCAGUUACUACAUAGCGGUGCCUCCACCAGCAUAAUAAAGGCAGAAUUGAAAAAUGGAUUGGCAAGGCAUGUUAAUCUUGGUUUAGAUCAUUGAUUUGUUCGGCAUAGAAGAAUUCUGGAUAUUAUGACAAAGCAGCUUAUAAGUAAAGGACAUAUAUCUGAGGGUCUCUACAUUUUGGAUGCAUGGGUACCUCAGUCUGUUGCCUGCUCCAGUGUCGUGUCUCCGUUUGAAGCACAUUGUCGGUUGGGACACCCUUCAUCACUGGUUUUGAAGAAGCUAUGCCCUCAGUUUCACAAGGAAGGAUGCCGGAGCGCCGGCGAAGCUUCCUUGAAGAGCCGACGGGCGUUCGGCUGGCGAGUUGGCCUCACGCGCCGCGACGGCAACCUGUCGCAGUUCCACGGGCUGACGCAUGAAGGCGCAAUGCUGCUCCGGUCACCAUCGCCGGAGUCGCCGCACCGUCCCUUGUCAAAUCUGUGGUUUGUUUGUCGUUCGGGUGUUGGGUGGAGGUGCUUUUAGUACUGUUCAUAUUCGGAACUGUUCACCGGGUACUGUUCACUUCUGAUUCUGUGUUUAUUUUUAUUGUUUUGGGUUGGUUGUCCUUAUGGCUGAAGUUAAAACCACCAUAACUGAUGUGAUUCAUGUGAUGACUAAAAUCACAGAACACAUUGAAUGGAUCUAAUUUUUUGGAUUGGAGUAAAACUAUCCGUAUUUAUUUACGAAGUAUUGAAAUGGAUGAUCAUUUUACCAAGGAUCCUCCAACUGAUGAAACUCGUAGAAAUUGGAUGAGGGAUGAUGCUCGAUUGUUCUUGCAGAUCCAAAAUUCUAUUCAUAAUGAGGUGAUUAGUCUUAUUAAUUACUGUAAAUUUAUUAAAGAGUUAAUGGAGUAUUUGGAAUUUCAAUAUUCUGGCAAAGGGAAUAUUUUCCGUAUUUAUGAUGUAUGAAAGGCGUUUUACCGAGCUAAGAAAAAUGAUAAAACUUUGAUAUCCUAUUUUAUAGAUUUUAAAAGAGUUUACGAAGAACUUAAUGUAUUGAUACCUUUUAGUACAAAUGUGAAAACUCAACAAGCUCAACGAGAGUAAAUGGCUGUUAUGAGCUUUCUUGCAGGUCUCUCUCCAGAGUUUGAGACAGCUAAAUCUCAGAUUCUUUUUGACUCUGAAAUAUCAUUAUUACAUGAUGUGUUCACUAGGGUGUUGCAUACAGAGUCUCCAAUUCUUUCACACCCCACUAGUACCCUUGUUAGUCGCAAUGACAGUGGUAAACAGAAUAACAGAAAUGGAUAAAGGGAAGGUUUUAAUGGUGGUAAAGGAUCUCAGCGUUCUAAGGAAAUAGGUCCUACUUCUGACUCGGGAGGAAUUAUUUGUUAUUAUUGCUGUGAACCUGGACAUACUAGAAGACAUGUCAGAAACUACAUAAUAAGAAUCAUUGCACACAAAUGGCGCAUAUGACAGUUGAAGCCUCUUCAGAUCAGGGAAUUUUGAUAUCUGCAGAUGAGUAUGCACAAUUCAUCCAAUACUAGGCAUCUCUGAAAUCCUCUAACUCCUCUGUCACUACAAUUGCCAAGUCAGGUAACUCUACUGAAUGUCUUGUGUCUUCAUCCUCCAAAUGGGUUAUUGAUUCUGGUGCUACCGAUCAUAUGUCAGGUAAUUAUACCCUUUUGUCCAAUUUUGAGUCUCAUGCAUCGUCUUUUUAUGUUACUUUUGCUGAUGGCACUAAAUCUUCUGUCAUGGGUUCUGGUUAUUGUCAACUUAACCCCUUCUCUUUCUUUAUCCUCUGUGUUAUCUCCCUAAGUUUGCGUUUAAUUUGCUUUCCGUUAGUAAACUCACUCGUGCAUUGAAUUAUUGUGUCUCAUUCUUUCCUAAUCACUGUGUUUUUCAGAAUCUUUCGACGAAGCAGAUUAUUGGUAGAGGGCGUGAGUUAGAGGGUCUUUAUGUCUUGGAUCAACAAUUACCUAGAUCACUUGCAUGUUUCACGCGUUUAACACCUUUUGAUGUUAAUUGUCGUUUGGGGCAUCCUUCUCUCUCGGCUUUGAAGAAGUUAUAUCCAUAGUUUCAUUCUUUGUCUGUUUUAGAUUGUGAGUCUUGUCAAUUUGCCAAAUAUUAUCGUUUACUUACAGUGUCUUGAGUCAAUAAACGGGCUUCGUCCCCCUUGAGUUAGUACAUUCAGAUGUUUGGGGUCCUUGUCCUAUUAUGUCUGUUGAAUCCCACAUCAGUUGUG